RNAcentral lists this ribosomal RNA (468 nucleotides) under uncultured bacterium. RNAcentral's name for it is "partial 16S ribosomal RNA". It matches the Rfam family "Bacterial small subunit ribosomal RNA", at positions 28 to 507 of the family's 1533-position model. The record is from RNAcentral.
GACGAACGCUGGCGGCGUGCUUAACACAUGCAAGUCGAACGGAAAGGCCCUGCUUUUGUGGGGUGCUCGAGUGGCGAACGGGUGAGUAACACGUGAGUAACCUGCCCUUGACUUUGGGAUAACUUCAGGAAACUGGGGCUAAUACCGGAUAGGAGCUCCUGCUGCAUGGUGGGGGUUGGAAAGUUUCGGCGGUUGGGGAUGGACUCGCGGCUUAUCAGCUUGUUGGUGGGGUAGUGGCUUACCAAGGCUUUGACGGGUAGCCGGCCUGAGAGGGUGACCGGCCACAUUGGGACUGAGAUACGGCCCAGACUCCUCCGGGAGGCAGCAGUGGGGAAUAUUGCACAAUGGGCGGAAGCCUGAUGCAGCAACGCCGCGUGCGGGAUGACGGCCUUCGGGUUGUAAACCGCUUUCGCCUGUGACGAAGCGUGGGUGACGGUAAUGGGUAAAGAAGCACCGGCUAACUACGUG